Sapajus apella (tufted capuchin) is the source of this 667-nucleotide long non-coding RNA. RefSeq lists it as uncharacterized. The record is from RefSeq and is a predicted model, not a curated record. The transcript has 3 exons. Lineage: Eukaryota; Metazoa; Chordata; Mammalia; Primates; Cebidae.
CCCUUGCUAAUACACCCUGAAAGCUACUUGUGUGUCCUUUGUACAAAUAUCACGCUAUCAUCAUUCACCUACCCUGGGCAGCCCAGUUAAAACCGAACCCAGGACUCCUAAUUCCUUCAACCUCUCUGUUGAAUUCACACACUACCCCCGACACCUGUCAGCUUCUUGGAUCCCUGAUGAUUUACUUAUGGAGGAUUUUUUUUUUUCCCUCUAUCCCUGCCCUUGGGAAUGUAAGCAUCAUAAAGGCAGGCUCCAGAACCGAAAGGAAGGCUUGGCACAUAGGAGAUGCUAAACACAUCUUUUUCAAAUGAAUGCAGUGACUUGAGUUUAGGCACUAUGUUAGGACCACAGGUCUCAGGGAUAGAUAAAGUCAGUUUUUGGAAGAUGACAUUUCGGUGGCGGAGAUUUCUACAGGAAGAAAUCAUCAGCAUUAUAUGGAGAGUGCUCUCAUGGAGGCACUGGAGCAGAACAGGGGAGUCAAGAAGAAAAGCAAUUAACGAAUAAAGGAAAAAGUACCAAUAGUGAAGGGAAAAAAAUUCUUCUGAAAGCUAAAGAAGAGGGAAUAAUUGAUGGUUCCAUUUUAGCUUAAUGUUAUUUCUGGAUCUCUUUUAUAAUGUGUUAUUUACUGCAUAGUUUAUAGUUGACAGAAAAUAAACAGCAUUUGCAA